UGCACUGCGGGCUCGGCGGUUCCCGCCCCUCCUGCGGACCAUGACCUCGCCGGGACCAGGUCGACACGUUUAGCUCUCCCUGACCUGCUUUUGAACCCGCUAAUCCCAUCCCGAACUCUCGCCCAGAGGCGAUUCCUCGCCUGGCCCAGCGCACUAAUUCCCGUUGACCUCCUGGCCUCUCCGGCCUCACAGCCUGCUCAGCUUUGAACCCGGUAAGAGCUUCCUCUUGAAUGCGGGUGUGACCGGGUCCACGCGCUGGGCCACCCCGCGGUGCUCACAACCCACACACGUUUGCUCAAGACCAGAGCAAACAUCCGGUAGCUACAAACAUCCUGUCUUCUUGCUUUCUCGAGGUUCUCCCUAGUUUAAUUCACCUGUUUCAUCAAGAAAACUAUACGCCUCACAAAGAUCAAAAUAUUGGGUCACACCCUAAACUGGGAUGCUGUGAUUGGACACAGCAGGCUAGCUACCACGGCCUAGAAACCACAGCUGGAGGUCUGCAGCCCUAGCACAAUGCCAAGACUCGGCAAAGGUGGAAAAAGCUGACAGAA
Molecule: non-coding RNA, 551 nt
Organism: Dipodomys ordii (Ord's kangaroo rat)
Lineage: Eukaryota; Metazoa; Chordata; Mammalia; Rodentia; Heteromyidae
Source: Rfam